GAUGAGCGCUAGCGGCAGGCUUAAUACAUGCAAGUCAAGGGGGUAGCAAUACAACCGGCGCACGGGUGAGUAACACGUACACAACAUACCAUAUACUGAGGUAUAGCUUCGGGAAACUGAAGGUAAUCCCUCAUAGUAUUGUGAAAGGGCAUCUUUUUACAAUUAAAGUUUCGACGAUAUGUGAUUGGUGUGCGUUUGAUUAGCUAGUUGGUAGGGUAACGGCCUACCAAGGCAACGAUCAAUAGCUGGCGUGAGAACGCGACCAGCCACACUGGAACUGAGACACGGUCCAGACUCCUACGGGAGGCAGCAGUAGGGAAUAUUGGACAAUGGGCGAAAGCCUGAUCCAGCCAUGCCGCGUGAUAGAUGAAGGCCCUCUGGGUUGUAAAGAGCUUUAGACUGGGAAGAAACCACUUCUCGUGAGAGGUGUUGACGGUACCAGUAGAAUAAGCACCGGCUAACUCCGUGCCAGCAGCCGCGGU
RNAcentral lists this ribosomal RNA (482 nucleotides) under uncultured bacterium. Its description in RNAcentral is "bacterial SSU rRNA". It matches the Rfam family "Bacterial small subunit ribosomal RNA", at positions 28 to 521 of the family's 1533-position model. The record is from RNAcentral.